Molecule: ribosomal RNA, 392 nt
Filed under: uncultured bacterium
Lineage: Bacteria
Description: bacterial SSU rRNA
Rfam family: Bacterial small subunit ribosomal RNA
Source: RNAcentral
CGGGUGAGUAACGCGUGAGAAACCUGCCUUUCAGUGGGGGACAACAGUUUGGAAACGACUGCUAAUACCGCAUAUGCUCACAGUACCACAUGGUACAGUGAGGAAAGGAGUAAUCCGCUGAUAGAUGGGCUUGCGCCUGAUUAGCUAGUUGGUGGGGGUAACGGCCCACCAAGGCGACGAUCAGUAGCCGGUCUGAGAGGAUGAACGGCCACAUUGGGACUGAGAUACGGCCCAGACUCCUACGGGAGGCAGCAGUGGGGGAUAUUGCGCAAUGGGGGAAACCCUGACCCAGCAACGCCGCGUGAAGGAAGAAGGCUUUCGGGUUGUAAACUUCUUUUACCAGGGACGAAGACGUGACGGUACCUGGAGAAAAAGCCACGGCUAACUACGUG